CUUGCCUUUAUUUUCUUCUUGUCUUCUUAUAUGGUAUCAGAGCCAUAGCAAUGGCUAAUCAAAUGUUGAAGUCUCGAAUACUUCUCCAAAUACAAAUCAAAACCAAAAUAACAAUCAUAAUACUGAAUCCAAUUCGAAAAUUUACAAUCUAACAAACUCAAGUAGCCCUUAUUUCAUUGGCAGCAAUGAUGGUACUAAAGCUGUAUUGGUUACAUAAAUGUUGGAAGCAAACAGCUACCACUUUUGGGCUAGAUCCAUGAAAUGAGCUCUUAGAAUAAAAAACAAAUUGGAUUCAUAGAUGGAAGUCUCUGUGAACUGAAUGAUCCAAACGACCCUUUAAUGGAACCCUGGCUCAGAUGCAAUGACAUUGUGAUUACUUGGCUGCAAAACACCAUGGAAGUAGACAUCAAAUGUAGUACCGUGUAUGCUAAGACAGCACAUCAGCUGAAGUUGGAGCUAGAACAACAAUUUGCCCAACAAAAUGCACCAAGGAUCUAUGAAAUCAAGCAAGCCAUCAUAACUCUGGUUCAAAAUCAUGAUGAUGUAAGUGUUUACUUUUAUAAGAUCAAAACUCUUCUAGAUGAGUUAUUGAACUAUGAAUCUAUCCCGAAUUGUACCUGUGGCGGUCUAAAAGUGGUGAUCUAAAAUCAACAGCGAAAUUGGGCGGUGAAAUUUUUAAUGGGAUUGAAUGAAUCGUACAAGGAUCUUAAGGCCCAAAUUUUGUUAAUGAAACAUUUUCCUACCUUGAAUGAAGUUUAUGCAACCAUACAACAAGAGGAGAGGAGGCGGCAGAUAUCAACAGAAGGUCCUAUUAGUGAGACCUUAUCCUUGCUAAAGAA
Molecule: long non-coding RNA, 839 nt
Filed under: Olea europaea subsp. europaea
Lineage: Eukaryota; Viridiplantae; Streptophyta; Magnoliopsida; Lamiales; Oleaceae
Source: RNAcentral